GACGAACCGUACGAACGUUAUUCGGAAUCACUGGGCUUAAAGGGUGCGUAGGCGGCGCUGAAAGUUGGGUGUGAAAUCCCUCGGCUCAACCGAGGAACUGCGCCCAAAACUACAGUGCUCGAGGGAGAUAGAGGUGAGCGGAACUUAGGGUGGAGCGGUGAAAUGCGUUGAUAUCCUAAGGAACGCCAGGGGCGAAAGCGGCUCACUGGAUCUCUUCUGACGCUGGGGCACGAAAGCUAGGGUAGCGAACGGG
This 253-nucleotide ribosomal RNA is filed under the name uncultured bacterium. RNAcentral's name for it is "partial 16S ribosomal RNA". It matches the Rfam family "Bacterial small subunit ribosomal RNA", at positions 524 to 776 of the family's 1533-position model. The record is from RNAcentral.